GAUGAAGAACGUAUCAAAUGCGAUAAGUAGUGUGAAUUGCAGAAUUCAGUGAAUCAUCGAAUCUUUGAACGCACAUUGCGCCCUUUGGUAUUCCUUAGGGCAUGCCUGUUCGAGCGUCAUUUAAACCUUCAAGCUCAGCUUGGUGUUGGGUGACUGUCCGCUUCACCGCGGACUCGCCUCAAAAUUAUUGGCGGCCGGUACAUUGGCUUCGAGCGCAGCAGAAACGCGAACUCGGGCCCGUCGUAUUGGCUCCCAGAAGCUAUCUUCACAAUUUUGACCUCGGAUCAGGUAGGGAUACCCGCUGAACUUAAGCAUAUCAAUAAGCGGAGGA
Molecule: unclassified non-coding RNA, 331 nt
Filed under: soil metagenome
Description: partial contains 5.8S ribosomal RNA, internal transcribed spacer 2, and large subunit ribosomal RNA
Rfam family: 5.8S ribosomal RNA (bases 1-119)
Source: RNAcentral